UACGUAGGGUGCAAGCGUUGUCCGGAAUUAUUGGGCGUAAAGAGCUCGUAGGCGGUUUGUUGCGUCGGCUGUGAAAUCCCGAGGCUCAACCUCGGGUCUGCAGUCGAUACGAGCAAACUAGAGUGUUGCAGGGGAGACUGGAAUUCCUGGUGUAGCGGUGAAAUGCGCAGAUAUCAGGAGGAACACCGGUGGGCGAAGGCGGUUCUCCUGG
RNAcentral lists this ribosomal RNA (211 nucleotides) under uncultured bacterium. Its description in RNAcentral is "partial 16S ribosomal RNA". It matches the Rfam family "Bacterial small subunit ribosomal RNA", at positions 524 to 733 of the family's 1533-position model. The record is from RNAcentral.